This 403-nucleotide ribosomal RNA is filed under the name uncultured bacterium. Its description in RNAcentral is "partial 16S ribosomal RNA". It matches the Rfam family "Bacterial small subunit ribosomal RNA", at positions 28 to 526 of the family's 1533-position model. The record is from RNAcentral.
GACGAACGCUGGCGGCGUGCCUAAUACAUGCAAGUCGAACGCAGUGGGGACGGGUGAGUAACACGUGGGUAACCUCCCAUCAGAGGGGAUAACACUUGGAAACAGGUGCUAAACCGAUACUGAUGGAUGAAUCCGCGGUGCAUUAGCUAGUGGGUGAGGUAACGGCUAACAAAGGCUACAAUGCAUAGCCGACCUUGGAGGGUGAUCGGCCACACUGGGACUUGGACACGGCCCAAACUCCUACGGAAGGCAGCAGUAGGGAAUCUUAGGCAAUGGACGAAAGUCUGACCGAGCAACGCAGCGUGAGUGAAGAAGGUUUUCGGAUCGUAAGACUCUGUUGUUAGAGAAGCGGUAUCUAACCAGAAAGCCACGGCUAACUACGUGCCAGCAGCCGCGGUAAUAC